RNAcentral lists this ribosomal RNA (1388 nucleotides) under uncultured bacterium. RNAcentral describes it as "bacterial SSU rRNA". It matches the Rfam family "Bacterial small subunit ribosomal RNA". The record is from RNAcentral.
GAAUUCGCCCUUAGAGUUUGAUCCUGGCUCAGGACGAACGCUGGCGGCGUGCCUAACACAUGCAAGUCGAACGGAGAUAAAGAUUUCGGUUUUUAUCUUAGUGGCGCACGGGUGAGUAACACGUGAAUAACCUGACCCAAAGAGGGGGAUAACACCUGGAAACAGGUGCUAAUACCGCAUAAGACCACAAUGUCGCAUGACGAAGGGGUCAAAGAAAAUCGCUUUGGGAGGGGUUCGCGUCCCAUUAGGUAGUAGGCGGGGUAACGGCCCACCUAGCCGACGAUGGGUAGCCGAGCUGAGAGGCUGAUCGGCCACACUGGAACUGAGACACGGUCCAGACUCCUACGGGAGGCAGCAGUGGGGAAUAUUGGGCAAUGGGCGCAAGCCUGACCCAGCAACGCCGCGUGAGGGAAGAAGGUUUUCGGAUUGUAAACCUCUGUCGCAGAAGACGAAGGAAGUGACGGUAUUCUGUGAGGAAGCCCCGGCUAACUACGUGCCAGCAGCCGCGGUAAUACGUAGGGGGCGAGCGUUGUCCGGAAUUACUGGGCGUAAAGGGAGCGUAGGCGGUCUGAUAAGUUGGAUGUGAAAUACCCGGGCUUAACUUGGGGGGUGCAUCCAAUACUGUUGGACUAGAGUACAGGAGAGGAAAGCGGAAUUCCUAGUGUAGCGGUGAAAUGCAUAGAUAUUAGGAGGAACAUCGGUGGCGAAGGCGGCUUUCUGGACUGCAACUGACGCUGAGGCUCGAAAGCGUGGGGAGCAAACAGGAUUAGAUACCCUGGUAGUCCACGCUGUAAACGAUGAAUACUAGGUGUAGGGGGUAUAAACUUCCUCUGUGCCGCAGCAAACGCAAUAAGUAUUCCGCCUGGGGAGUACGGCCGCAAGGUUGAAACUCAAAGGAAUUGACGGGGGCCCGCACAAGCAGCGGAGCAUGUGGUUUAAUUCGACGCAACGCGAAGAACCUUACCAAGGCUUGACAUCCACUUAAAGUUAUGGAAACAUAAUGUCCCUUCGGGGGAAGUGAGACAGGUGGUGCAUGGUUGUCGUCAGCUCGUGUCGUGAGAUGUUGGGUUAAGUCCCGCAACGAGCGCAACCCCUGUUGCCAGUUGCCAGCAAGUAAAGUUGGGGACUCUGGUGAGACUGCCGGGGACAACUCGGAGGAAGGUGGGGAUGACGUCAAAUCAGCACGGCCCUUACGUCCGGGGCUACACACGUGUUACAAUGGGGGGUACAGAAGGCCGCUACCUGGUGACAGGAUGCCAAUCCCAAAAACCUCUCUCAGUUCGGAUCGAAGUCUGCAACCCGACUUCGUGAAGCUGGAUUCGCUAGUAAUCGCGCAUCAGCCAUGGCGCGGUGAAUACGUUCCCGGGCCUUGCACUCACCGCCCGUCA